AGCUGGUCACUCCUCUCUGGUGGGAGCAGGCUCUGUGCAGGCCUGUGGCAGCAUCCAAACCCCUGUCCUCUCGGCACUCAGGUUCUUGUUUGGUGUUCGGGAAGAAUCAGCAGGGGUGCCCACCUGACAUGGCAGAGGAUGGGUCCAUGGUUAAGCCACUGCGCUCUCACCUAGAAGUGAGCACAAUGCACAUUGGAGAAAAGAGAGGAGGAAGAAGGAGUUGGGCAGAGACUCUCACCCCUCUGCAAACCAAGGCUCUGAGGCUGGGACCUACUACUCCUUCUGCUAGGAGGUGAGGAUGUGCAAUGGAAGUGAAUUAAAAUGGAUUGGACAAGACUUUGAAAAAAAAAAAACCCUGUGUCAUCCAAGAGAUGGAAUCAGAAUAGGAUCCCUAAGGGACUAGACGUUUAUGAGAAAAAUAAAGCAAUUUCAUGUUUGUUUCACUUGUUCCGUAAAGUAGUUGGCCACACAUGUCUAGGAUGAAUUACACCAAACCAAUCUAGCUUUUAUUUUUUAAUUCAAGACUUCUACACUCACCAUAGAUGGAUAAUUUCUCUAUGCUGAUAAAGCCUGUUAUAUGUUUCUUGCCAUGGUGUCUUUUUAGAAUGCAUAGAGAAAGAGGGAUAUAGGAUCUGAGCUCAAAGAGGACCCCAAAGGAUGUGGGAAAAAUGAAACGCUCAUACACUGUUGGUGAGAAUGGAAGUUAGUACAACCUCUGUGGAAAAUUGGAGAGUUCUCAAAGAAGGAAAAAUAGAACUACCCUUGGAUCUGGCAAUCCUACUACUGGUUGUUAUAUACCUGAAGGAAAAUAAAUCAUUAUAUAAAAAAGACACCUGGACUGUCAGCUGUAGCAGUAUUCACAAUAGCGAAGUCCUGGAAUCAACCCAAGUGCCCAUCACCAGAUGAUUGGAUUAAAAAGUGGUACAUACAUACAUCAUGGAAUACAACUCAGCCAUAAAAAAGAAUGCAAUAUUGUCUUUUGCAGCAACAUGGAUAGAACUGGGGGCCAUUAUCCUUAGUGAAAUGGCCCAGAAACAGAAAAUCCAAAACUUCACUUUCUUACUUAUAUGUAGGUACCCCCAGACAUACAGAGGGAAAUAAUAGACACUGGAGACUCCAAAUGGUGGGCAGGUGGGAGGGGUGAGGGAUCACCUCUUGGGUUCAUUGUACACUAUUUGGGUAAUGAGCAUACUGAAAGCCCCGAUUUCACCACUGUGCAAUAUAUUCAUGUAAAA
This 1235-nucleotide long non-coding RNA is filed under the name Homo sapiens (human). RNAcentral describes it as "HSALNT0115711". The record is from RNAcentral. Lineage: Eukaryota; Metazoa; Chordata; Mammalia; Primates; Hominidae.